This is a long non-coding RNA of Arabidopsis thaliana (thale cress), 326 nucleotides long. RefSeq annotates it as other RNA. The record is from RefSeq. The transcript has a single exon. Lineage: Eukaryota; Viridiplantae; Streptophyta; Magnoliopsida; Brassicales; Brassicaceae.
CUUGGGGCUUAAAGAAUUUUGUCACGUAACCGUUGCAUAUUUGGCACAAACGUUACUACAAAGUACAAACAAUUGAAUACCUGUCUCUUUUUUUUUUUUUUUGGCCAAAACAACUGAAUACCUAUCUACUUGUAAGAUUUUAUCAAAAAAUAAAAUAAGUAAGUUCGUUAAUUAAUAUCUUGGCUACACACACCUUUUCUUAGCUUUGUUUGGCGGAUUUUAAAUUUACGUUGCUCUCUUCCAAAGCAUAAUGUACCAAUUCCAAGAAAAAACAACAGAAAAUUGUCUCCAUUAACCAAUGCAAUGAUGUGAGUGUUUGCGUCAAU